Molecule: unclassified non-coding RNA, 23 nt
Filed under: Arabidopsis thaliana (thale cress)
Lineage: Eukaryota; Viridiplantae; Streptophyta; Magnoliopsida; Brassicales; Brassicaceae
Source: RNAcentral
AGAAACAAAGUUAACUAAAAACA